This 1609-nucleotide long non-coding RNA is filed under the name Felis catus (domestic cat). Its description in RNAcentral is "lncRNA (ENSFCAG00000048810.1)". The record is from RNAcentral. Lineage: Eukaryota; Metazoa; Chordata; Mammalia; Carnivora; Felidae.
CCUAAGUUAUAGAGAUGACUGGGGGAAAUUUUCAGGUUCUGUGAGAUGGUCUUAAAUGCUAUUUGCAAAACUGGAAUUUACUUGGAGAUUCUUAGUUGAUAAUUAAAUCUGAGCCAUGUGCCUGGAAAUCUAUAAAUUCCUGUCUUCCAAUCUGAUAUGUUUCAGUUAAGAACGAAUCGCGUGCGCUGAUUACUAAAAUAUGUUGUCAGCUUCAACGUCUGUAGGUGACAUGUUGUUUUUUUACAUUUGUACAGGUAGUGAAAAACUUUAACUUAUACAUAGGACACAUAGAAACUCUGCAUUUCAAAAAUUUGAAUUUGGGGCAAAUUAUUGAAAUUCAUGAUUAACCCAUGAGGCUGGGUCCCCCCAAAUACAAACACAUUCAAAAACAGAUUUCGAAAGUGUCAAGAAAUAUUAGAAAAGUAUCCUUUACUCAGUAUGAUUAAGUCUACCUCAGAUGCUCCAAGCUAUUUUUAAGCAAUUGCUUGAAAUUUUCAACACCAGAGCUGAUACGCUAUCACUGGGUUUCUCACUAAUUCCAGCUCUCACUCUUGGCAAUACACCCCAGCUUUGAUCUGCCUCCGGCUCUUUGGCUUCCACAUUCAGAUUUUGUUCUCUCUGGCUUUUACUCAUUGCUUUCCUUAAUGGAUUUUGGCUUCUCCUAACGUUCUGGGUUUUCUUACUCUGUACAACCUCAGAUGGGCAGACCUUCGUUACCCUCAUGCCCGGCUCACCUCACUAUGGCUGUCUGGAACACACGCCCCUGUGAACUGUCAAUGAGACCCCCCUGGCCUUGUCAUCUUUGAGGUGGGGCAGAUAUUUGAACAAAAAGGACAUUUCCUGAUCCAAACCCCUACACUGGUUUUCCAUCAUCACCUGAAAGGCAGAGUUCUCCGCACCACCCAGCCUACUGCAUCUCCUGCUAGUGCCCCAAAGGUCAUUCCUCAAAAACUUGCUGGUUUUUGUUUCAUUCCCCACUGUGGAAUAUUUCUACCUCUCCCUUCUGAAUUCACCAUGGCCGGUUUCAAUGUUACACACGGCUUUGUUUCAUUCCCCACUGUGGAAUAUUUCCACCUCUGCCUUCUGAAUUCACCAUGGCCGGUUUCAAUGUUUACUUCCUUCUUCACUAAGCAAACGGGCCUGUAUGGAUCCUACUGGCCGGCUGACUCCUUUUCUGAUUAAUCCUGUGUACAGAGCUUUCUUCCAUUAUGUCCAAAAAUGAAUUAAAACUUAGGUGGCACCUACAAUUGAUCAAUCUUGUAUUGUUAUUUUAUAUUCUUCCAUAUUAUAUGGUUAUUCCAAGUAACGGAUAACCUCUUUGAAGAUGGUGACAGACUUUCCAUUACCCCACCCCCACAGAGUAGGCCUUACUUAGGCAUUUAUAAGUCCUGGAUUACACUCUGUUUGUUUUUUAAGUAACCUUUAAAGGUAUGUAUCUCACUGGUAAUAGGAAAAGAAAAACAGGAAGGAGUGAGGGAGAUCUGCUUUUCAUAGACAGGAUGCUCAACUUUUCAGCAUUUCUUUAGGAAGUUCAUGCUGUUCAACUGUUGCAUUCACCUUGGUCUCUUCCAUAGCAUUUCACAGGUUAAUAAAACCUAACACUUAUCCA